Molecule: unclassified non-coding RNA, 348 nt
Filed under: soil metagenome
Description: partial contains 5.8S ribosomal RNA, internal transcribed spacer 2, and large subunit ribosomal RNA
Rfam family: 5.8S ribosomal RNA (bases 1-120)
Source: RNAcentral
GAUGAAGAACGCAGCGAAAUGCGAUAAGUAAUGUGAAUUGCAGAAUUCAGUGAAUCAUCGAGUCUUUGAACGCACAUUGCGCCCCCUGGUAUUCCGGGGGGCAUGCCUGUCCGAGCGUCAUUGCCGCCCUCAAGGACGGCUUGUGUGUUGGGCCCCCGCCCCCCGGCUUCGGGGGGCGGGCCCGAAAGGCAGCGGCGGCACCGCGUCCGGUCCUCGAGCGUAUGGGGCUUCGUCACCCGCUCUGUAGGCCCGGCCGGCGCCCGCCGGCGACCCCAAUCAAUCUUUCCAGGUUGACCUCGGAUCAGGUAGGGAUACCCGCUGAACUUAAGCAUAUCAAUAAGCGGAGGA